RNAcentral lists this ribosomal RNA (465 nucleotides) under uncultured bacterium. RNAcentral's name for it is "partial 16S ribosomal RNA". It matches the Rfam family "Bacterial small subunit ribosomal RNA", at positions 338 to 795 of the family's 1533-position model. The record is from RNAcentral.
CCUACUGGAGGCAUCAGUGGGGAAUAUUUCGCAAUGGGCGAAAGCCUGACGCCGCGCCGCCGCGUGAGGGAUGAAGGUCUUCGGAUCGUACACCUCUGUCAGCAGGGAAGAACGGUCACUGUGCUAAUCAGCAGUGAAUUGACGGUACCUGCAAAGGAAGCACCGGCUAACUCCGUGCCAGCAGCCGCGGUAAUACGGAGGGUGCGAGCGUUAAUCGGAAUUACUGGGCGUAAAGCGCUCGUAGGCGGUAUGUCACGUCAAGGGUGAAAUCCCCGCGCUCAACGUGGGAACUGCCUUUGAAACGGGCAAACUGGAGUGUGUGAGAGGAUAGUGGAAUUCCAGGUGUAGGAGUGAAAGGCAUAGAUAUCGCGCAGAACUCCGAUUGCGAAGGCAGCAUGCCGGCUCCACACUGACGCUGAGGCACGAAAGCGUGGGUAUCGAACAGGAUUAGAUACCCUUGUAGUC